Long non-coding RNA from Girardinichthys multiradiatus, 3892 nucleotides. RefSeq lists it as uncharacterized. The record is from RefSeq and is a predicted model, not a curated record. NCBI's taxonomy places the organism in Eukaryota, Metazoa, Chordata, Actinopteri, Cyprinodontiformes, Goodeidae. The transcript is spliced from 3 exons.
ACUGGCUUUCUGUUAAUAUAUUUUGUUUAUCAAUAAAUUUGAUUAGUCUGGCAGUGAACAGUUUUUCCAUUACUUUUGAGAACUGAUAAAGAAGAGCAACAGGCGUUUAAUUUGAGGACACGUGUCUAUCUCCACAAUUGUACAAUUUUAAGACUGUAGCUAUUUUAAUUUCAUUUGAAAAUGUACCAAAGUAAUUGUAAGUUUUUUUUGGAAACCCCAAUCGAUAACCUUUUCAAUUAUGACCUUGUCAGUUUUAUUCCAAUCAGUGGAGAAUUUGUUUUUACACUUUCUUACAAUCUCUAUAAUUUCUUCCUCUUGUAUUCCUGAAAGAAACAUCAAAUUUGGAUUUAUUUUUAUGAGUUUGUCUACCUUAUCUGCUGGCAACCCUUUGUUUAAGAUUGUUUGCCAGAUCUGGUCCAACACUGACAAAAAAAUCUUUAAAGCUGUGAACCACCUCAGCCAUGUUAUGUACCGUCAGCCAUGGAGCUGAGCACAGGUUGCUUGUUUAUGUAGAGUGUUGUUCUCUGUCUCUCCACAGGCAGGUGCAGCUACACAGCUGUUCCUCAUCAGGAACGAUCAGAGAGAGCUUCAUAAGCUGUUGGAACCUUGGAGGAGGUUGCUGUUGGUGACAUCCGGUCCUGGAUUGUCUGUUGUGAUUCUGCCUUCUGCAUGGUUGGGUGAAUGCUUAAAUGAAUUCACCUCAGCUAUAUGACUUCUCUGGGUUUCCCGGAUCAACUAGCAGAAUCGCUGCUCGUGCUCCACGUGCUGCCUGUCCAGCCUCCAACGCAACCCAACUUCUGUAUCUCGCUCACACAGCACACCGACCUGUCAACCUCAGUCUCUGUGGCUUGCUCACCAUCUCCCAGAAAGAUUAAAUCCACCUCGAAUGUGCCAACUCGCUGAAACCAGACUCCCGCUGGAGCCUGAAUCAGCCAAUGUUACUAAACUCUUUAGAACUUUAUCCUGUGAUUGUGCCUGCACUAGAGCCUCCUGGUUCUCACCUAUUAUGAGAUGUACAGGUUUUAAUACAAUGUGGGUCAUUUAUUUGGCUGCGGUUAGGUUUAAUAUUUAAUGUAAUCCAAAUGCCUCUAACGAUCUUAUCUAAUAGGUUACUAUAAUCUUUUUGACACGUUUAAUAUUGUCGUUGAUGUAUCUCUGCUUGUUUAGUUCUAGAUCUUGUGAAUUUUUUGUACAAGAUGUUCUCUUACAAGCUUUUUUUUUUUAUGCUUUAGGGAUUAAUGGGUCCUUUGGUAUAUUCACAUUUCUUACUGAAUUAUAUUACUUGGGGAGAGAGAGAUAUUCUUGAAAAUCUUCAUAAACUGAUCUGCAAUGUUUGUAUAUUAUAUUACUUUCCAAUUUUGUUUUAACAACUGAGAUUCUUCAGUCCUAAUUAUUUUGUAGAUUAAUGAAUUCUGCUCAUAUUCCCUGUAAAUACUAUUAGAAUCUGUUAAAAAAAAAAAAAGUUACUAGUAUAAUUAAGAAUUCUCUUCUUACACUGUUUUCUAUGCCAUUAAUAAAUAUGUUGCACUGUGAGAUGUAAUUCUGCCAGGUCAGGCCAUUUCUAGAUAUAUUCCCAUGAUGUACAUUAAUUUUAUAAACUCUUCUCUAAGUGUUUAAUUGAAUUUUGAGGGUCAAUAUUGAAUUCUCCACAGAUGAACAUAGAUUUGUGGCAGAGUUUGCUAAAGGUUUUCUCAAUCCAGACACUUCUAUAUUUAAACCAGGUGUUCUGUAGAUACAACUUGGAAUUUUUUAUUUUCUUGCCAUCUAAACUAAUUUCAGUGGUUAUUGAUUGCAAUAUGUUAACUACAGUGGUCAUAUUUUCAACAACUUUAAAAUACACUUUUGUUAAAUAGAAUAGAACUUUAUUAAUCCUUUACAGGAAAUUGCUUUGUUACAGAGGCAUCACUUAUGAAACACCAACAACAAAAGUAAGCUAAUCUUGAUCGAUUUAAUUUGCUGCAUUAUAUUUUUUUCUGCUAUUGCUCUCCUGUUGAAUUUUAUGUAAAUUUGACCAUUUGCAGACCUUGUACUUUGUAUUUUGCUUAGUUUUUUCAUCAUAGCCUUUGUAUUUCCUUCCUUGUUUCAGGAGUUUUAUUUUCUUUUUCAAGUCAACAAACUUGAAUAUGAUGGCUAAUUUGUCCCUCUUGUUUCUCUGUGGCCAUUGAUGGCAUGCCUCAAUGUUGUCUUUGUUAAAUUUGUUUCCUUUGCUAACCAGAAAGUUUGAAUACUGUUUACUUGGUUCCUCAUCAUUUCUAGGAGCAAUUGCUUUCACAUAUGACAGUGGUUUGAUUUCCAGUCCAGUAAUAAUAUCAACAAUGUUUUUGUCUUUCUGUGUUCUGCAGCAGCACAGCUCUUAACUCCUUAAGUUCAAGAAUAUAUUUCUGCUGCUGCUUGAUUGCAGUAAUCUCCUCUGUUAGAAAGUCCAAUGACUUUUUGAUGUCUUGGUUGUCUUCAGCAAGAUGAGUCUUCUUUUGACCAAUUUUGAAAUAUGUUUCUUUGUUUUUUUAUUAUAUCCAGUAACCUGUCUGCAGAAAAGUCCAAAUUGCUGAAACAGUACUGUAGUUAACUAGCUGUUACCUGCAGUUUGUUGCAGUAGGUGACCUGGUCUGGUGGCUUGGUGGUGAAUCCUGAUUUCAGCCCAGUGCCAGAACCUGAUGCUGGGUGAAGUGGUUUCUGUUGAAGCCGAAAGCUGUUGAUUGAUUUUGCUAUUAAUUUCUAAUGUGUUUUGUUUUGUUUUUUUGUUACCAGUAACUAGUUGUUUUAUCUGAUUGUUUGUUUACUUGAUUUUAUCAUUUUGAUCAUUUUAUUGUGUGUAUGCCUGCAGUGUUUAAAUGUCUGCCUUUAUGUUUUAACCUCUGCAAAACACUUUGUGUUACACUUAACUGUAUGAGAAGCUCAAAAUUUAGAUUUGUUUUGGUUUAUUGAUUUUUAAAGGAAUACACCAUAUAUACAUUGAUGUUCAACCAUAAGGAGCUUGAGACCUAAACUUGGACAAUUACGCCCCCUGCUGUUUGUAUUAUAUAUGUAAGUAAAAUAGAAACUGUGUCCCUCAUACCUGAGUGUGCUUGAUUUCAAACACCGAUAAAUCUUCAUUUUAUGAGCCCAAAUUGGAGCUGUACACUAAACUUUGCUAUCACUACUUUGGUCUUGGGUGGACAUUGUAUCAUGCAGGCCAAGUCUGGCAUUCCAAAUGUAAUGUCAAAACAAAUUUAAGCUGUGUUCCCAGCUGCCCAGUACUUGCUGUUUUCCUGUCACGCUUUUCUUUUUUAUGUAUUUCUAGGUUUCGUUCAUGGAAUGAGUCCAACUAUUGUCAGCUACAAGUCUGAACACAAGCAGAAGGAAGAGAUGAGCUAGAGUACAAAGAUUGCAUGUAGUUGAUCACUGGAUAAUCAGUUUUGUGAAUUUGGCAUGCUGGUGAAAUAGGACCUGUUUUAACUGGGUGUCUGUGGUUUUUAAAAAAUGUCAUAUGCUGCUGUAUUUCAGUUUAAAUAAUAUGGAUACAGAACAAGUGCAGUGAUCAGUGGGAGUGAAUGACUGCCAUCACGGUGUCUUCUGUGGGUCUGGAUUAGAUAGGAAUGGAAGUGAACAGGCCUCCAAUGUCAACAACAGGGAGGAUACUGGGGACUGCUGAGCGGAUGUGACCUCAAGAACUUUGGGAAAUAAAAUGACUGUGGAUAAAGCGGAAGCAUGAAAACACAGGCAGAAAACCACACAUACUGUUUCUAGUUUUUGAGUAAAAAAAAAAAUUGGUCUAUGGAUUUCUUCAUCAUUCUCCAGGAACUGCUUCAGAAAAAGACUGAACUCCCUGGAUGUCAUGUAAGGAUCCUGCAAUUUUCCCAGGAAAAGAAACGUCUCAAUCAGUUAAUAAAACACUGAUAUCUGUUAUGCAACA